RNAcentral lists this small RNA (157 nucleotides) under Pan troglodytes (chimpanzee). RNAcentral's name for it is "processed transcript". Lineage: Eukaryota; Metazoa; Chordata; Mammalia; Primates; Hominidae. The record is from RNAcentral.
GGGAGGAGGGCACAGAGGAGGGAAGAGUUGGGAGGGGAGGCCCUCUCAUGUCUCUGACUGUGAACAGAUGUACGGGGACCCUCUAUGCACCGAACCCAAUACGUUCAUUCCCCGUAUGAUCGUCCUGGUUGGAACCCUCGGUUCUGCAUCAUCUCGG